UAGACCCAUGAAGGACAGCUGGUAUCAGAGAGCCUUACACAAGCAGUAGGUGCAUUGUGCUUUUGCAGAGCAACAGCAUUUCAAACUUGAGAUGUCUGAACAGGCUAUGAUGAUCUCAUACUACUCUCACAAGAAAGGAGUCCACACCAGAACCAGAGGAAGAGCAAACUGACUCGUGCCCAGCAGCUCUCACUGGGAGAGGAUCCCCAGCUCCAAACCAUCGUGACCUCCAAGCAGCCACUCUAUUUCCUGUGUAGUUUUCACAGGUGGCACAGAAGUUGGGGCAAUGUAAUUGUUGUA
Molecule: long non-coding RNA, 300 nt
Organism: Lepidothrix coronata (blue-crowned manakin)
Lineage: Eukaryota; Metazoa; Chordata; Aves; Passeriformes; Pipridae
Exons: 3
Source: RefSeq, a predicted model, not a curated record